GUUGCUACUUACAGGUGAAUUCUCUUUUCUUGAGAAGUAAGAGAGUUCAUGUUUCCGAAGCAUAAAUAGAUUGAUUGCCAGAAUUGAACAGCGCGUUGCAUUCAUAUGUCAUUCUUCUCUGUGCUACCUGUCUCCUGGUACAUCA
This is a non-coding RNA of Punica granatum (pomegranate), 145 nucleotides long. The record is from Rfam. NCBI's taxonomy places the organism in Eukaryota, Viridiplantae, Streptophyta, Magnoliopsida, Myrtales, Lythraceae.